Ribosomal RNA from Gadus morhua (Atlantic cod), 119 nucleotides. NCBI's taxonomy places the organism in Eukaryota, Metazoa, Chordata, Actinopteri, Gadiformes, Gadidae. The record is from Ensembl.
GCUUACGGCCAUACCACCUUAGGCACGCCCGAUAUCGUCUGAUCUCGGAAGCUAAGCAGGGUCGGGCCUGGUUAGUACUUGGAUGGGUGACCGCCUGGGAAUACCAGGUGCUGUAAGCA